Molecule: ribosomal RNA, 494 nt
Filed under: Gnathophis heterognathos
Lineage: Eukaryota; Metazoa; Chordata; Actinopteri; Anguilliformes; Congridae
Description: partial 16S ribosomal RNA
Rfam family: Bacterial large subunit ribosomal RNA
Source: RNAcentral
UCCUGACCGUGCGAAGGUAGCGUAAUCACUUGUCUUUUAAAUGAAGACCUGUAUGAAUGGCAUAACGAGGGUUUAACUGUCUCCUUCCCCCAGUCAAUGAAAUUGAUCUGCCCGUGCAGAAGCGGGCAUAAAAACAUAAGACGAGAAGACCCUAUGGAGCUUUAGGCCAAGGACCAAUCAUGUUAAGAGACUACAAAACCAAAAAGAACAAAAAAGUCAACAAACCAAAUGCAACCUCGUCCAAGUGCCUUCGGUUGGGGCGACCACGGGGAAAAAAGAAACCCCCACAUGGAAUGGAAAUUAUUUCCUUAAACCAAGAAAAACAAUUCUAAGCAACAGAACAUCUGACCAAUAUAUGACCCAGGAAAACACAUCCUGAUCAAUGAACCAAGUUACCCUAGGGAUAACAGCGCAAUCCUUUCCCAGAGCCCAUAUCGACGAAAGGGUUUACGACCUCGAUGUUGGAUCAGGACAUCCUAAUGGUGCAGCCGCUA